CAAACCAUCAUAGAUGAAGGAUGUUUAGAACAGAAGUUGUGGGAGAAGAAAAUAAGCCCCAGAGAUAUUCUGAGAACAAGGGUGAGAGCUCAGGAUCUACCAGGACAAGUAGAGGGUCCUUCCUUGAAGCCCUUCAGCAGGGGACAGCUGCUCCUCUCCCGCCGGGCCUGGCCGACCUCGGGGGUGCACAGGGUGACUCACAAGGCCUGUUGCACAGGGUGACCUCACAAGGCCUAUUGACUGGCAUCUGGCGUGUCUACCUCUGACCAGGCAGCACUUUCUCUGGUCCUCCUGGGUCCAGGAGGAGAUUAACCCAGCAGCCACCCAGCAUGGGUUGAGACCUGCUUUGCUGAGGGUGCCCCGGAAGUCACAAAGCAGGAUGACUCCCGUUUCGAUUCACGGAGCCUGAAGCCUAAACGGGGAUCCAGGACAGACAGACAUCAAAAGAUGAGGAGGGACAAGACCAUCUUCAAUUUAUUUGCAACUUUACCUAAUUUUAAAAUGAGGAGACCGAGGCAUAGAGAGUGUAGAUGGUUUGCCUACAAUCAGAGCUAGAACAUACCCAGCACCUGAGCCAGAAUAGAAUCCCAGUAUUUCUACCUGGGACACUUAGGACACCCAGCUGUUCUCCACUCAGAGUCACAACCUGUUUGGACCACAUCUAUUUCUGAGUGCCUGACUACAAGGUGGAUGGUGUAUUAAUAUAGAUCAACCCUGUCCUCUCCCAAGAAGACCUUCCUUUCAGAGACACAUCCUAUCCGGGCACACAGACUACAAAGCAAUUCCUCUGCCCUCCUACUGCCUCUACACCAAAUCUCACAUUUGUGACUUCCUGAGCGCCUCUCCGAUGUCUCCUUUGCUCCACAUUCCAACUGCCUUGGACUCCCAACAGGCUGCCAUCGAAUCAUAACUGUGUUUCGGCACCAGUGUCCUUAUUCAGUGGAUAGCCGCCAGAAUAAUGUUUUCCCCUUUGUAUUAUAUCCUACACAGCAACAGGCAACAGAAACAGGCUGAUAUGGAAACUCCCAUGCUCCUGACUCCUGGCACAGCAACACAGCCUCCCUGGCAAACCCUGGCUGGUCACUGCAGCUGCCCCAUAUGCCAAGGUCAUUUGCUGGAACCAUUUGCUGGCUUAUUUGCAGGCUGCCAGAACCCAAGUGAGAGAAUUGGAGCCCUCAAAUCAAAGCACAGCCAUAAAAUAGAAACAUGGGGAAGAACUACAGCUGUGCCUGAGUAUGGAGCAGACUUUGUCAAAGAGAAGAAUGAACGAUCGGCCUUGCUUUGAUGUGGCCUUCCUCUGGAACUUCCUCACAAGGACACCUGGCCUUGAAAAUGCAUGAAACUACAGCCUUCCAGGACUCGUGAGAAAACAUGAGCCUCUGGGAGGCCUUGACCAAUUCACCAGCCAGACCUUCUUCCCCGGCACGUCACGUUUGGCACCCAGGGACUCCCAAGCCCGGUCAUCAUCUGGAAGUUGCAAUGAGUUUACCCCAAAGACCCAGGCUGGGCAAAGGGGGUUCUGUUCUACUGGUGCUGGUGACCGUUGGCCCUGCUGUGCAGAUUUCAUUUUUUAAGGAGAGAUUUUUAAGCUUUGUUUGCAUUCGUCUGGUGACAGAACUGAACUGAAGAGCUCCGUUGGGAUCAAUAAACAUGUAUCCGCCUGGCUUGCUAGCACCAGGCACUGGACUGGCCUGGGGAUUUGAGGCCAAGUGAGGAGCCAUCUAGAGCAAAGGACAGCCACACAAACAGGGCACAAAAGCCCCAUUAACACUGUCGCACUGGUCAGUAAUUGCCUGGGGCUUUUCUUCUGCAGAGCCCCGGGGUGGGACCUGAGUGAGGAUUUCACUCCUGCUCUCCCUCCCUUGCUUCUCCAUCUUUUGUUUGUUUGUUUUCUUCCAUGGGCAGAACACACAGACACUGAAGUCUGGAAUUCUGGAAGCUUGUGGUUCCCAACAGGAGGAUGGUCUGUGGAAGCAGUAUGCUUGUUAGUAACACACUCCAAAUCUCUGGUGCCUGUAAGACUAUGAGCCUCCAGGAGGUUGGUCUGUUCACGCCAAACACUUUUCAGGGAAUAACUCAGCAUCCAUUAGGAUGCUUUUAGAAGAGUGGAAAUGGCCCAUUUCCCCCCGAAGAUCUACUGCAGGGGCGAGGGAGAGUGCAAUGUCUCAGCAGCCUGUCUUCAACCAUUGCUAAAGGCCCAAGCAGAGCUGUACAAAAUCCAGGGGACCCACCCAGCUUUAGGGAUCUUGGCACACCUCUCAGGGGUUUCAGUCAUCUGUUCCUGCCUCUCACGGUCCCACAAGGUCUGCAGUCCCUGAACUGUACCGUCCACCCAAACCUCACAAAUCUGCCCCUACUGCAUGGAAACCUUGGGGAGGUGCCCAGCCUCUCCUGGGAUGACCGUGGCAGUCGGCACCCAGGGCUCCCCCUUGGAACUCUCUGCCCCCUCUUUCUGGGCCCCAUAGACAGUGAACUUAUCUAGAGCUCUGCCUCCCGCACUUAAACUGAAGAUUUCCUGAUUUAA
Long non-coding RNA from Canis lupus familiaris (dog), 2524 nucleotides. RefSeq lists it as uncharacterized. The record is from RefSeq and is a predicted model, not a curated record. The transcript has 5 exons. NCBI's taxonomy places the organism in Eukaryota, Metazoa, Chordata, Mammalia, Carnivora, Canidae.